GACGAACGCUGGCGGCGUGCUUAACACAUGCAAGUCGAACGGAAAGGCCCUGCUUUUGUGGGGUGCUCGAGUGGCGAACGGGUGAGUAACACGUGAGUAACCUGCCCUUGACUUUGGGAUAACUUCAGGAAACUGGGGCUAAUACCGGAUAGGAGCUCCUGCUGCAUGGUGGGGGUUGGAAAGUUUCGGCGGUUGGGGAUGGACUCGCGGCUUAUCAGCUUGUUGGUGGGGUAGUGGCUUACCAAGGCUUUGACGGGUAGCCGGCCUGAGAGGGUGACCGGCCACAUUGGGACUGAGAUACGGCCCAGACGCCUACGGGAGGCUGCAGGGGAGAAUAUUGCACAAUGGGCGGAAGCCUGAUGCAGCAACGCCGCGUGCGGGAUGACGGCCUUCGGGUUGUAAACCGCUGUCGCCGGUGACGAAGCGUGAGUGACGGUAAUGGGUAAAGAAGCACCGGCUAACUACGUG
This 468-nucleotide ribosomal RNA is filed under the name uncultured bacterium. RNAcentral's name for it is "partial 16S ribosomal RNA". It matches the Rfam family "Bacterial small subunit ribosomal RNA", at positions 28 to 507 of the family's 1533-position model. The record is from RNAcentral.